GAUGAACGCUGGCGGCGUGCCUAAUACAUGCAAGUCGAGCGAACGGACGAGAAGCUUGCUUCUCUGAUGUUAGCGGCGGACGGGUGAGUAACACGUGGAUAACCUACCUAUAAGACUGGGAUAACUUCGGGAAACCGGAGCUAAUACCGGAUAAUAUUUUGAACCGCAUGGUUCAAAAGUGAAAGACGGUCUUGCUGUCACUUAUAGAUGGAUCCGCGCUGCAUUAGCUAGUUGGUAAGGUAACGGCUUACCAAGGCAACGAUGCAUAGCCGACCUGAGAAGGUGAUCGGCCACACUGGAACUGAGACACGGUCCAGACUCCUACGGGAGGCAGCAGUAGGGAAUCUUCCGCAAUGGGCGAAAGCCUGACGGAGCAACGCCGCGUGAGUGAUGAAGGUCUUCGGAUCGUAAAACUCUGUUAUUAGGGAAGAACGUAUGUGUAAGUAACUGUGCACAUCUUGACGGUACCUAAUCAGAAAGCCACGGCUAACUACGUGCCAGCAGCCGCGGUAAUACGUAGGUGGCAAGCGUUAUCCGGAAUUAUUGGGCGUAAAGCGCGCGUAGGCGGUUUUUUAAGUCUGAUGUGAAAGCCCACGGCUCAACCGUGGAGGGUCAUUGGAAACUGGAAAACUUGAGUGCAGAAGAGGAAAGUGGAAUUCCAUGUGUAGCGGUGAAAUGCGCAGAGAUAUGGAGGAACACCAGUGGCGAAGGCGACUUUCUGGUCUGUAACUGACGCUGAUGUGCGAAAGCGUGGGGAUCAAACAGGAUUAGAUACCCUGGUAGUCCACGCCGUAAACGAUGAGUGCUAAGUGUUAGGGGGUUUCCGCCCCUUAGUGCUGCAGCUAACGCAUUAAGCACUCCGCCUGGGGAGUACGACCACAAGGUUGAAACUCAAAGGAAUUGACGGGGACCCGCACAAGCGGUGGAGCAUGUGGUUUAAUUCGAAGCAACGCGAAGAACCUUACCAAAUCUUGACAUCCUUUGACAACUCUAGAGAUAGAGCUUUCCCCUUCGGGGGACAAAGUGACAGGUGGUGCAUGGUUGUCGUCAGCUCGUGUCGUGAGAUGUUGGGUUAAGUCCCGCAACGAGCGCAACCCUUAAGCUUAGUUGCCAUCAUUAAGUUGGGCACUCUAAGUUGACUGCCGGUGACAAACCGGAGGAAGGUGGGGAUGACGUCAAAUCAUCAUGCCCCUUAUGAUUUGGGCUACACACGUGCUACAAUGGACAAUACAAAGGGCAGCGAAACCGCGAGGUCAAGCAAAUCCCAUAAAGUUGUUCUCAGUUCGGAUUGUAGUCUGCAACUCGACUACAUGAAGCUGGAAUCGCUAGUAAUCGUAGAUCAGCAUGCUACGGUGAAUACGUUCCCGGGUCU
This 1372-nucleotide ribosomal RNA is filed under the name uncultured bacterium. RNAcentral's name for it is "bacterial SSU rRNA". It matches the Rfam family "Bacterial small subunit ribosomal RNA", at positions 28 to 1381 of the family's 1533-position model. The record is from RNAcentral.